This 460-nucleotide ribosomal RNA is filed under the name uncultured bacterium. RNAcentral describes it as "partial 16S ribosomal RNA". It matches the Rfam family "Bacterial small subunit ribosomal RNA", at positions 338 to 795 of the family's 1533-position model. The record is from RNAcentral.
CCUACGGGAGGCUGCAGUGAGGAAUAUUGGUCAAUGGGCGCGAGCCUGAACCAGCCAAGUCGCGUGAGGGAUGACUGCUCUAUGGAUUGUAAACCUCUUUUAUAAGGGAAUAAAGUGUGGGACGGGUCCUCUUUUGUAUGUACCGUAUGAAUAAGGAUCGGUGAACUCCGUGCCAGCAGCCGCGGUAAUACGGAGGAUCCGAGCGUUAUCCGGAUUUAUUGGGUUUAAAGGGUGCGUAGGCGGGAUUUUAAGGAAGGGGGGAAAGUCGGGGGCUCAACCCACAGAUUGCCGUUGAAACUGGGGGGCUAGAGUGUGUGUGAGGUAGGCGGAAUGCGUGGUGUAGCGGUGAAAUGCUUAGAUAUCACGCAGAACCCCGAUUGCGAAGGCAGCAUACCGGGGCAUAACUGACGCUGAGGCACGAAAGCGUGGGGAUCGAACAGGAUUAGAUACCCGGGUAGUC